UACGUAGGGUGCGAGCGUUGUCCGGAAUUACUGGGCGUAAAGAGCUCGUAAGUGGUUUGUCGCGUUGUCCGUGAAAACUCACAACUCAAUUGUGGGCGUGCGGGCGAUACGGGCAGACUGGAGUACUGCAGGGGGAGACUGGAAUUCCUGGUGUAGCGGUGGAAUGCGCAGAUAUCCGGAGGAACACCAGGGGCGAAAGCGGCCGACUGGUCGAGUACUGACGCUGAGGCGCGACGGCGUGGGGAGCAAACCGG
Molecule: ribosomal RNA, 254 nt
Filed under: uncultured bacterium
Lineage: Bacteria
Description: partial 16S ribosomal RNA
Rfam family: Bacterial small subunit ribosomal RNA
Source: RNAcentral